GACGAACCGUGCAAGCGUUAUUCGGAAUCACUGGGCUUAAAGGGCGCGUAGGCGGGCAACCAAGUCCGAGGUGAAAUCCUCCAGCUUAACUGGAGAAGUGCCCCGGAUACUGGUGGCCUCGAGGAUGGUAGGGGCAUCUGGAACUAGCGGUGGAGCGGUGAAAUGCGUUGAUAUCGCUAGGAACUCCGGUGGCGAAGGCGAGGUGCUGGACCAUUUCUGACGCUGAGGCGCGAAAGCCAGGGGAGCGAACGGG
Molecule: ribosomal RNA, 253 nt
Filed under: uncultured bacterium
Lineage: Bacteria
Description: partial 16S ribosomal RNA
Rfam family: Bacterial small subunit ribosomal RNA
Source: RNAcentral